AUGCACCUGUGGAGGGCACAGCAUGCAGUAGUAUAGAUUUUGCAGGUAAUCACUGCAUGUACGGUCUAGUAUCCGCUACCUAGCGGAUUUAAGAUUUUCGU
RNAcentral lists this non-coding RNA (101 nucleotides) under unclassified sequences. RNAcentral's name for it is "RT-5 RNA". It matches the Rfam family "RT-5 RNA". From Rfam's summary of the family: Clostridium (Firmicutes). Environment (Cow rumen (57)) The record is from Rfam by way of RNAcentral.